RNAcentral lists this ribosomal RNA (1316 nucleotides) under uncultured bacterium. RNAcentral describes it as "bacterial SSU rRNA". It matches the Rfam family "Bacterial small subunit ribosomal RNA", at positions 94 to 1399 of the family's 1533-position model. The record is from RNAcentral.
AGUGGCAAACGGGUGAGUAACACGUAGUCGACCUACCCUGUGGAUCGGGAUAACGGAAGGAAACUUCCGCUAAUACCGAAUACGCUCUGUGGAGGAAAGUGGGGGAUCUUCGGACCUCACACCAUAGGAGGGGGCUGCGGCCUAUUAGCUUGUUGGUAGGGUAACGGCCUACCAAGGCUGCGAUGCCUAGGGGGUGUGAGAGCAUGGCCCCCACCACUGGGACUGAGACACUGCCCAGACACCUACGGGUGGCUGCAGUCGAGAAUCUUCCACAAUGGACGAAAGUCUGAUGGAGCGACGCCGCGUGCGGGAUGAAGGCCUUCGGGUUGUAAACCGCUGUCAGAGGGGAUGAAACGUAGGGGAGCUAUCUCCUCUAUCUGACAUAUCCUCAGAGGAAGCACGGGCUAAGUUCGUGCCAGCAGCCGCGGUAACACGAACCGUGCUAACGUUGUUCGGAAUUAUUGGGCUUAAAGAGCACGUAGGCGGUGUGCUAAGUCAGUGGUGAAAUCCUACGGCUCAACCGUAGAACUGCUUCUGAUACUGGCAUGCUUGAGGGAGGUAGGGGUGUGUGGAACUUCCGGUGGAGCGGUGAAAUGCGUUGAUAUCGGAAGGAACGCCGGUGGCGAAAGCGACGCACUGGACCUCUUCUGACGCUGAGGUGCGAAAGCUAGGGGAGCGAACGGGAUUAGAUACCCCGGUAGUCCUAGCCGUAAACGAUGGGCACUAGAGGGUAGACGCUCCGAUUGCGUUUACUCUCGAAGCAAAAGUGUUGAGUGCCCCGCCUGGGGAGUAUGGCCGCAAGGCUGAAACUCAAAGGAAUUGACGGGGGCUCACACAAGCGGUGGAGCAUGUGGCUUAAUUCGAGGCUACGCGAAGAACCUUAUCCUGGGCUUGACAUGCACGGAUACUGCCCGUGAAAGCGGUGUCAGUUGCCUUCGGGUGAAACGUGCACAGCUGCUGCAUGGCUGUCGUCAGCUCGUGUCGUGAGAUGUCGGAUUAAGUUCCUUAACGAGCGAAACCCCUGUCGCUAGUUGCUAACAGUUCGGCUGAGGACUCUAGUGAGACUGCCGGUGUUAAACCGGAGGAAGGUGGGGACGACGUCAAGUCCUCAUGGCGCUUAUGCCCAGGGCUGCACACGUGCUACAAUGGGAAGGACAAAGGGAAGCGAGACCGCGAGGUGGAGCAAAUCCCAAAAACCUUCCCCCAGUUCAGAUUGCAGGCUGAAACUCGCCUGCAUGAAGGUGGAAUCGCUAGUAAUCGCAGAUCAGCUAUGCUGCGGUGAAUGUGUUCCUGAGCCUUGCACACACCGCCCGUCA